This 1749-nucleotide ribosomal RNA is filed under the name Triticum aestivum (bread wheat). RNAcentral describes it as "partial small subunit ribosomal RNA". Lineage: Eukaryota; Viridiplantae; Streptophyta; Magnoliopsida; Poales; Poaceae. The record is from RNAcentral.
AUGAGGAAGAAGUUUCACCUCAUAUGCAACAGGAGUGGUAAAUCGAGGGCAACUCCGGACCUGCAGAGGAAGCGGAAGAGAAAAUCUAUAGAGAAGACAAAUUGCCAAGCAAAGGUAAUAGUGAAACUCACUAAAGGCCAAUGGGAGUUCACAACAGUUCGUAAUGAGCAUAACCAUCCGCUAUGUCCAAGUGCUUCCCUCACAAAAUUCUACUUGAGCCACAAACACAUAUCAACCGAAGAAAGGUCAUUUCUGAAAGUUCUGCAACGAACUAGGAUACCUCCAAAUAAAGUUAUGAAGAUUUUUAGGAGAAUGAGAGGCAGCUUUGGAAGCAUACCAUUCAAGAAAAAAGAUGGGACCAAUUUACUAUGUAUAGAACAACAUAGAAAAGAGAACUCAGAUGUUGGAAGAAUGUUGAUGUACUUCAAAGAAAAGGAGCUUCAGGAUCCAAGUUUUCAAUGCAUGAAGCAAACAGAUGAAGACAACAUAGUUCGGAGUGUUUUCUGGACUGAUGCGAGGUCAAGGAUGGAUUAUGAGAUUUUUGGAGAUUUCCUGUUGUUUGAUACUACCUAUACCACAGAUAGGCAUCACAUGCUAUUUGCUCCUAUUAUUGGAAUAAAUAACCAUGGGAGAACCCUCUUGUUAGGAUGUGCCUUGUUACAUGAUGAGAGCGCUGAAACAUACAAAUGGAUGUUCGAAACACUUUUGCAUGUGAUGGAAGACAAAAUGCCAGUAUCAAUUAUAACAAACCAGGAUGAAGCUAUGGCAAAAGCAAUUGGAGAGGUCAUGCCACAAGUAAGGCAUCGGUUGUGCAAAUGGGAUGUACUGGAAAAAGCACAGCAAAAUAUUUCAGCCUUCAUAGCAGAAAGUGGCAACAUAAAAGCAGACCUGAAUAGCUUGAUUGACAACUCACUGACAGAAAAAGAAUUUGAAGAAGGGUGGGAUGCACUCAUUGAGAGAUACGGUGCAAGUGAAAACGAGUACCUACAACUCUUGUGGCAAAGAAGGAAAAACUGGGUGCCUGUUUAUUUCAGAGAAGAUUUCUAUCCAUUUGUCCAAUCACAUGGAUGUGACGAAGGGAUGAACUUGUUAUUCAAUGACUAUGUGCUUUCUAUUGACAGAAUAGAGAAGUUCAUUGAAAGAUAUGAGGAGAUACAUAAGAAUAUAACUAAAACAGAUGAAGAAGAUAGACUGCAAACAGGAACUGUACCUUUAUGCUUUUCAUUGCAGCCAAUAGAAAAGCAUGCAGCUGAUAUUUACACAAGGCAAAUAUUUCUGAAAGUACAGAGAGAACUUCUCCACUCUACCGCUUUCAAUGUGCAGGAGGUCCAAAGAGGGGCUGUGUACCGACUAAACAAGGUUUUCAGCUAUGAGAAUCCAGAGUUUGAUCAAAAUAACUUUGAAGUGCAGGUUGAAUCUGGCACCAAUGCAUUCAAAUGCCAGUGCGCAAAGUUUACCAGGGAUGGAAUACUGUGCUGCCACAUAUUCAGACUUUUCACACAGUUUGGAAUCAAUCAAAUACCAGAGCAGUACAUAGUGCCCAGAUGGACUGAAAAAUUCAGAGAAGAGAAGGAGAAACAGUACAAGAAAAAAUGCUCAGAGCAGAUGGACACUACAAUGAGAUACACAAAUUUUAUGACUAAAAUGGCUGACCUCGGCAAAACAAUAUGCAGCGAUGGCGCAAAAUACGACGCAUUCAUGCUUGAAGUCGACAAGAUUCAGGUGAACUUCGCAACAGCACAAAAAUAA